This 961-nucleotide long non-coding RNA is filed under the name Ananas comosus (pineapple). RNAcentral describes it as "long non-coding RNA (ACOM_LNC031106)". Lineage: Eukaryota; Viridiplantae; Streptophyta; Magnoliopsida; Poales; Bromeliaceae. The record is from RNAcentral.
GGAUAAAGUACAUUAUUUUUUUGGAUAAAUUUUAAAUACCACUCCUGUUGUGUACUAUCUCACUUUAAUAUCAUGUAGUUUAGUAUUUUGUUAUUUCAAUUUUUUCUUUUCGUCGGCCCUUCCAUUAAUUUUUCAUUAAAUUAUAUAUAAAAACUUCAGAUACCCCAUCUAUAAUUUAACGAAUAUUUACUUUAAUACCAUUUAGUUUUAACUUUGUCGCUUAUUUAACGGAAAAAAUUAGUGGAGGGGAUAACAAAAGGAGAAAAAUAAAAUCGCAGGUAGAUCUGGCAAUUUCGACCCAAACCUGCAGGUGCCCACGGGUUACCCGCAAAUUUGCGGGUAUGGGUACCAAUUUUUUCAACCCAAAAAAUUACGGAUAAAACGGAUGGAUAGCUAUCGGCAUUUUGGGUAACCCGCGGGUACCCACACAUAUUUUUUAAUUACAAAUAUUUUUUCUUAAUUAAUAUAUAUUUUUUUUUACCUGUCAUAAAAAUUCUAAUCCUGAUUUCCUAUUGCGUGUCUUUUAUAUUAUGAAAUGUUUUUGCUUUAAGACUUUAAAUAUUUUUAUUGUAUGUUAUGAUAUUUUAAAUAAUAAGUUAUAUUACGCUUUUAAAAUUUAUAUAUAUGUGUUUUGCAUUAAAAAAAUAUAAGAGCAAAAAAUAAAAAAAAAUUUGUGGGUAACCCGCAUACCCACCCGCCCACCCGUCCACCCGCCGGUGGGUAUGGGUGACCCGCGGAUGGGUAUGGGUAAAAAUGUUGGUUACCCAGAAAUUUACAGGUAAAUUUUAUCCAUACCCAAGUAAUCCGAGGGUAUAAUAACCUGCCCGCGAGUUACCCAACCCGUCCGUUUGCCAGGUCUAAUCGCAGGGUACGAAAGUGAUAAAUUUUAAACCACAGGGUAUUAAAGUGAAAAAGUGUGAAAACACAGAGCUGGUAUUUGAAGCUUUUCGUAUUUUUUUUA